AGUGGCGUGGAUGUGAGGAGACACGACAUUUCACCUGAUGUUCCAUGGGUGACCCUACUGGUGAUGUGGACCUGACCCUCCGCCAUGUAGCAGACAACCCCCUCAGGUCCUGCGAUGUAUCUUCCCAAGUGGCGUGGAUGUGAGGAGACACGACAUUUCACCUGAUGUUCCAUGGGUGACCCUACUGGUGAUGUGGACCUGACCCUCCGCCAUGUAGCAGACAACCCCCUCAGGUCCUGCGAUGUAUCUUCCCAAGUGGCGUGGAUGUGAGGAGACACGACAUUUCACCUGAUGUUCCAUGGGUGACCCUACUGGUGAUGUGGACCUGACCCUCCGCCAUGUAGCAGACAACCCCCUCAGGUCCUGCGAUGUAUCUUCCCAAGUGGCGUGGAUGUGAGGAGACACGACAUUUCACCUGAUGUUCCAUGGGUGACCCUACUGGUGAUGUGGACCUGACCCUCCGCCAUGUAGCAGACAACCCCC
This is a long non-coding RNA of Pseudophryne corroboree (corroboree frog), 483 nucleotides long. RefSeq lists it as uncharacterized. Lineage: Eukaryota; Metazoa; Chordata; Amphibia; Anura; Myobatrachidae. The record is from RefSeq and is a predicted model, not a curated record. The transcript is spliced from 4 exons.